UAACCACUCAAGCCUAGCUUGGUAUUGGGGUUCGCGUGCUCGCGGCCCUUAAAAUCAGUGGCGGUGCCGUUUGGCUCUAAGCGUAGUAAUUCUCUCGCUAUGGAGUCCCAGCGGUGACCUGCCAGAACCCCCCAUAUUCUUA
This 142-nucleotide unclassified non-coding RNA is filed under the name uncultured Hyaloscypha. RNAcentral describes it as "sequence contains ITS2". The record is from RNAcentral. Lineage: Eukaryota; Fungi; Ascomycota; Leotiomycetes; Helotiales; Hyaloscyphaceae.